This 245-nucleotide ribosomal RNA is filed under the name uncultured Gammaproteobacteria bacterium. RNAcentral describes it as "partial 16S ribosomal RNA". It matches the Rfam family "Bacterial small subunit ribosomal RNA", at positions 524 to 768 of the family's 1533-position model. Lineage: Bacteria; Pseudomonadati; Pseudomonadota; Gammaproteobacteria. The record is from RNAcentral.
UACGGAGGGUACGAGCGUUAAUCGGAAUGACUGGGCGUAAAGGGCACGUAGGUGGAUAGAUAAGUCACAAGUGAAAUACCCGGGCUUAACCUGGGAUUGGCUCGUGAAACUGUUUAACUAGAGUACGGUAGAGGGGAGUAGAAUUCCAAGUGUAGCGGUGAAAUGCGUAGAGAUUUGGAAGAAUACCGGAGGCGAAGGCGGCUCUCUGGACCGAUACUGACACUGAAGAGCGAAAGCGUGGGGAG